Molecule: non-coding RNA, 46 nt
Filed under: Echinostoma caproni
Lineage: Eukaryota; Metazoa; Platyhelminthes; Trematoda; Plagiorchiida; Echinostomatidae
Source: RNAcentral
GCACUGCUGAAGAGUCCUAAAACUGGACGAUACAGCUGUCCAGUGC